UCGGAGAGUUUGAUCCUGGCUCAGGACGAACGCUGGCGGCGUGCCUAAUACAUGCAAGUCGAGCGAACAGAAGGGAGCUUGCUCCCGGAUGUUAGCGGCGGACGGGUGAGUAACACGUGGGUAACCUGCCUGUAAGACUGGGAUAACUCCGGGAAACCGGAGCUAAUACCGGAUAGUUCCUUGAACCGCAUGGUUCAAGGAUGAAAGACGGUUUCGGCUGUCACUUACAGAUGGACCCGCGGCGCAUUAGCUAGUUGGUGGGGUAAUGGCUCACCAAGGCGACGAUGCGUAGCCGACCUGAGAGGGUGAUCGGCCACACUGGGACUGAGACACGGCCCAGACUCCUACGGGAGGCAGCAGUAGGGAAUCUUCCGCAAUGGACGAAAGUCUGACGGAGCAACGCCGCGUGAGUGAUGAAGGUUUUCGGAUCGUAAAGC
Molecule: ribosomal RNA, 437 nt
Filed under: Bacillus pumilus
Lineage: Bacteria; Bacillati; Bacillota; Bacilli; Caryophanales; Bacillaceae
Description: bacterial SSU rRNA
Rfam family: Bacterial small subunit ribosomal RNA
Source: RNAcentral